UAACGGCGAGUGAAGCGGCAACAGCUCAAAUUUGAAAUCUGGCCCCUUUGGGGUCCGAGUUGUAAUUUGUAGAGGAUGUUUCGGGUACCGCCCCGGUCUAAAUUUCUUGGAACAGAAUGUCAGAGAGGGUGAGAAUCCCGUCUUGGACCGGUGGUAGGGCCCAUGUGAAACUCCUUCGACGAGUCGAGUUGUUUGGGAAUGCAGCUCAAAAUGGGUGGUAUAUUUCAUCUAAAGCUAAAUAUUGGCCAGAGACCGAUAGCGCACAAGUAGAGUGAUCGAAAGAUGAAAAGAACUUUGAAAAGAGAGUUAAACAGUAUGUGAAAUUGUUGAAAGGGAAGCGCUUGCAACCAGACUUGAGCGCGGCGGUUCCCCCUUCCUUUUGGUUGGGUUACUCCGUCGUGUCCAGGCCAACAUCGGUUCUGGGGGUCGGUUAAAGGCCUGGGGAAUGUAUCUACGUCUUCGGGCGUAGACUUAUAGCCCCGGGUGUCAUGCGACCUCCCGGGACCGAGGAACGCGCUUCGGCUCGGAUGUUGGCGUAAUGGUUGUAAGCGACCCGUCUUGAAACACGGACCAAGGAGUCUAACAUCUAUGCGAGUGUUUGGGUGUCAAACCCGGAACGCGGAAUGAAAGUGAACGGAGGUAGGAAGCUUCGGCUGCACUAUCGACCGAUCCUGAUGUCUUCGGAUGGAUUUGAGUAAGAGCAUAGCUGUUGG
RNAcentral lists this ribosomal RNA (713 nucleotides) under Exophiala sp. SJ100. Its description in RNAcentral is "eukaryotic LSU rRNA". It matches the Rfam family "Eukaryotic large subunit ribosomal RNA", at positions 84 to 812 of the family's 3401-position model. Lineage: Eukaryota; Fungi; Ascomycota; Eurotiomycetes; Chaetothyriales; Herpotrichiellaceae. The record is from RNAcentral.